Molecule: ribosomal RNA, 790 nt
Filed under: Hyphomicrobiales bacterium
Lineage: Bacteria; Pseudomonadati; Pseudomonadota; Alphaproteobacteria; Hyphomicrobiales
Description: bacterial SSU rRNA
Rfam family: Bacterial small subunit ribosomal RNA
Source: RNAcentral
ACCAUGCAGUCGAACGCAUCCUUCGGGGUGAGUGGCAGACGGGUGAGUAACACGUGGGAACGUACCCCUUUGUUCGGAAUAACCCUGGGAAACUAGGGCUAAUACCGGAUACGGCCGAGAGGCGAAAGGUUUACUGCAGAGGGAUCGGCCCGCGUCCGAUUAGCUAGUUGGUGUGGUAAUGGCGCACCAAGGCGACGAUCGGUAGCUGGUCUGAGAGGAUGGCCAGCCACAUUGGGACUGAGACACGGCCCAAACUCCUACGGGAGGCAGCAGUGGGGAAUAUUGGACAAUGGGCGCAAGCCUGAUCCAGCCAUGCCGCGUGAGUGAUGACGGCCUUAGGGUUGUAAAGCUCUUUUACCUGGGAAGAUAAUGACGGUACCAGGAGAAUAAGCCCCGGCUAACUUCGUGCCAGCAGCCGCGGUAAUACGAAGGGGGCUAGCGUUGUUCGGAUUUACUGGGCGUAAAGGGCGCGUAGGCGGACUGAUAAGUCAGGGGUGAAAUCCCAAGGCUCAACCUUGGAACUGCCUUUGAUACUGUUUGUCUUGAGUUCGAGAGAGGUAAGUGGAACUGCGAGUGUAGAGGUGAAAUUCGUAGAUAUUCGCAAGAACACCAGUGGCGAAGGCGGCUUACUGGCUCGAAACUGACGCUGAGGCGCGAAAGCGUGGGGAGCAAACAGGAUUAGAUACCCUGGUAGUCCACGCCUUAAACGAUGGAUGCUAGCCGUCGGGCAGCUUGCUGCUCUGUGGCGCCGUUAACACAUUAAGCAUCCCGCCUGGGAGUACGUCGCAGA